AGGCUCAGCUUCCAUCACCGCGUGGCGGAGCCCGUGUCCGGGCCAGCCACCCAGCCCCACGGUGGGCCUUGCCUCGUCUGUUAGGUGGUAUUUUCAUCUUUGGUCAGAUGACAGCCCCCAUGCUCCAAAAAUUCUCCUGCAGCCAGGGCUUGGAGAAUCCCGACCCCUCUCUGGCAUGAACCUCUCCUCAUCCAGGGUGGCUUGUGUGGUAGAGCCAGGGGAAUGGAGAAGAUGACCUCUGAAGCCUGAAGGCUCUUUGGGAAGCAGGACACAAACAUCCUGAAGAGCCAGCCUUGAGCUGGCUGCACAAGAGACUCAUAGACUUUGCGUCAACAUCCACCUCUCCAGGCUGCAGUGGGUGUACCUGUUCACCACCACCUCCAGCAGCACUGUCGCAGCGGAGCAGUUCUUACAGCCAAUGAGCUUCCACACCACCUCCCUGCAGUUCUCUGCAACCGAGGCUCCAUCCUGCACUGAUGGGCUGCCUGACACGUCGGCCUCAACAAGCAUUUCCAGCACAUUCUCAGCUUUCCUGCUCUGCUGGGCAAAACACAGGGUGAGAAGGGGAGAGGAAGAACGGGACUGUGGCCCAGUUCUAGGCUUGGAGUCUAGCGAGGAACACCAGGUGCCUGCAUUAAAAGGUAAAGGACCGUGCAGGUGGUUUGAAUUUGUGUUUGGAUUUGGUCAGAGGCUCUGACCUCUCUGGGCCUCAGGACUUUUCCUAACCUUUAGGCUGCCCUGUUCUUGGUAUCUCCUCACUCUUGUUCUUGGUAGCCUUCCCUACCCCCCAUAGCCACUUUUGUCCUAGGAUGAAUUAUCACUGCGAGGGACACACCACUAGUCCUGCCCUGGGGCCCUUGCCACUGCUCUUAUCCCACCUUCACCACCUGCACAGUCCCUUCUGUCCACCUGUGUGCACAGGUAUCUGCAGGCUGCACCAUCUCUGUCCAAAGCCUGUAAGAAGACAGCCACGGGAAUGUCUAGUGCUUUCCAGGGGGGGCUGGGAAGAAGUGGCAAUUGGUCACCUCCCUAUACCUGAAUCCACUGAGCAUCCUCUGAGUCCCCUGCUCUGUGUCUCCCCAUGGGGCACCUGGCCCCCAUCCCCCCAGCCUGCUGGCCAGGCCCUGCUGCCCUCUCUGGGUGCUGCCCUGACUCAGCCCAUUCCAACUAAGUUCUUAAUAGUCCCAGCUUGAAGCUCAGUGGACGCCUGUCUUGGGCGUGUAGUUCUGGAAUUCUGUUCUCCUUCCAGGCCCACCCCCCACCACACACACACACACACACACACACACACACACACGUUCCUCUUAGACCCCAACAUUUGGGCUGGCGCUUUGGAUGGCCUCAGCCACAUUUUCUCUUUUUUUCCUAUUUUAUUUUUUGAGAAACAGGUCUUGCUAUAUUGUCCAGGCUGGUCUCAAACUCCUGGACUCAAGCAGUUCUCCUGCCUCAGCUCCAAGUUGCUGGGCUUACAGGUGUGAGCAAGUGCAACUGCUCAGCUGCAUUUCCUUGAUGUGCUUGUAGAAUACCUCCUGCUUCCCCAGCAUCCAGUUUGCUCCCUCCCUGCCUCUUCCAACUUAACCCUCACUCCAUCGCAUCUACAGCUCUCCUUACCCCAGCCCUGGUCCUCUUCUCUGCUCCCAGCCCCCCGGGUCAGGAAUGUAUGUUAGUAUCAGAAACUGGCCAGAGCUCAUCCUCUUGUCCUCACUGUAGAGCUGCUCCCAGUGGAAUGGCUGAGUCCCAACCUCCACCAUAGCUGCGGCUGGAUAGCCCAGGGUGUGAGCCCUGGGCUGGGGCCAGGAGGGGUAGAGGUCACCUUCAGCCUUCCGACAAUGACAUCUUGUUACAGGAAUGGCUUGAGGCUUCCAAAUUCACAUCCUCUGGUUUGCACAAACAGGCCAGGCAGCUGCACCUCUGAGCUGCCUCCAGUCCAUGGUUAAUUGCCAGAAAAUAAUUCGCCCUGAGGUCAUUGCCGUUUAAACAGCUGGCUUCGUCUUUUCCUGUUUGGCCGGUCGUUCUGGGCUCCCUGGCCCUCCCUCCACCUGCUUCUGUGAUCCUCUCAAACACAGCCGGCUGGGAGCCUCAGGCUGGGCUCUUCUCCCUCCAGCUUAACUUGGCGACGUCUUGAUCCUUGUGUUGUGCUGAUGCGAGGCUGUUCUGGGAAUAGGCUAGUCCCUCCACCUUGUCGUGACCUGCCUGGACACCGAGCCUCCACCAUCAGGCUAUCACUUGCAGGAAAUUUUGCAAACCCUGUGUCUCUCUAAUCAUACAGGAUGGUUGGAGAGACAAAAGAGGAAAAUGAAUGCUUCCACGAAGCUCCCUCUUUGUGGCAGAAUCAGUCCAAUGGAGAAAUUCUGAAAUUCCAGUUUUACAAAGUUCUUCAAACUUACCUCAAGGAUGGCACCAGCUGAAGCUCAGUUGCCCUGUCUCUUAUGCACCAGUGCAUCUGCCCCAGAAACUCUUAUCUGGGGCUCAGUUUGCCCCCAUGUGGUAUAAGUCCCUCCAAAGAUUCCAUUUCUAGUUACUCGUCUCAAUGUCACAAUGAGAAAUAUUUCUGCAUAUUUCCUGCAAAGCGUCUCAUUAAAGAAAGUAUUGGUUUGAUUCAGAAAAU
This is a long non-coding RNA of Homo sapiens (human), 2608 nucleotides long. The record is from Ensembl. Lineage: Eukaryota; Metazoa; Chordata; Mammalia; Primates; Hominidae.